RNAcentral lists this ribosomal RNA (731 nucleotides) under uncultured bacterium. Its description in RNAcentral is "bacterial SSU rRNA". It matches the Rfam family "Bacterial small subunit ribosomal RNA", at positions 36 to 768 of the family's 1533-position model. The record is from RNAcentral.
CUGAAAUUGGCGGCUACCAUGCAGUCGAGGGGGAAGUUACUUUCGGGUAACUGAGACCGGCGUACGGGUGCGUAACGCGUAUACAAUCUGCCUUUCACUGGGGGAUAGCCCGAAGAAAUUUGGAUUAAUACCCCAUAGUAUAGUAGUGUGGCAUCACACAACUAUUAAAGCCUUGGUGGUGAAAGAUGAGUAUGCGUUCUAUUAGCUAGUUGGAGAGGUAACGGCUCCCCAAGGCGAUGAUAGAUAGGGGUUCUGAGAGGGAUGUCCCCCACACUGGUACUGAGAUACGGACCAGACUCCUACGGGAGGCAGCAGUGAGGAAUAUUGGACAAUGGUCGGAAGACUGAUCCAGCCAUGCCGCGUGCAGGAUGAAGGUCUUAUGGAUUGUAAACUGCUUUUGUAAGGGAAGAAUAAGGGCUACGCGUAGUUUGAUGACGGUACCUUACGAAUAAGCAUCGGCUAACUCCGUGCCAGCAGCCGCGGUAAUACGGAGGAUGCGAGCGUUAUCCGGAAUCAUUGGGUUUAAAGGGUCUGUAGGCGGGCUGGUAAGUCAGAGGUGAAAGCGCUCAGCUCAACUGAGCAACUGCCUUUGAAACUGUUGGUCUUGAAUGGUUGUGAAGUAGUUGGAAUGUGUAGUGUAGCGGUGAAAUGCUUAGAUAUUACACAGAACACCGAUAGCGAAGGCAUAUUACUAACAAUUAAUUGACGCUGAUGGACGAAAGCGUGGGGAG